UGGCGCACGGGUGAGUAACACGUGGGCAAUCCUGCCCAUCUCUGGGGGAUAACCUGCCGAAAGGCGGACUAAUACCGCGUACGAGGGCCUUACUUCGGUAGGGUUCUGAAAGCAGGCCUCUGUAUACAAGCUUGCGGAGAUGGAUGGGCCCACGCUCCAUCAGUCUUGUUGGUGAGGUAACGGCUCACCAAGGCUACGACGGAUAGCUGGUCUGAGAGGAUGAUCAGUCCUACACUGGAACUGAGACACGGUCCAGACUCCUACGGGAGGCAGCAGUGGGGAAUCUUGCGCAUAUGGGCGAAAGCCUGACGCAGCGACGCCGCGUGGGUGACGAAGGCCUUCGGGUUGUACAGCCCUGUGGGGCGAGACGAACAUGGACGGAUC
This 384-nucleotide ribosomal RNA is filed under the name uncultured bacterium. RNAcentral describes it as "bacterial SSU rRNA". It matches the Rfam family "Bacterial small subunit ribosomal RNA", at positions 96 to 461 of the family's 1533-position model. The record is from RNAcentral.